Rattus norvegicus (Norway rat) is the source of this 63-nucleotide non-coding RNA. Lineage: Eukaryota; Metazoa; Chordata; Mammalia; Rodentia; Muridae. The record is from Rfam.
GGGGAUUUAGCUCAGUGGUAGAGCGCUUGCCUAGGAAGCUCAAGGCCCUGGAUUCAGUCCCCA